Molecule: ribosomal RNA, 433 nt
Filed under: uncultured bacterium
Lineage: Bacteria
Description: partial 16S ribosomal RNA
Rfam family: Bacterial small subunit ribosomal RNA
Source: RNAcentral
AGCGAACGCUGGCGGCAGGCCUAACACAUGCAAGUCGAACGAACUCUUCGGAGUUAGUGGCGGACGGGUGAGUAACACGUGGGAACGUGCCUUUUGGUUCGGAAUAACUCAGGGAAACUUGUGCUAAUACCGAAUGUGCCCUUCGGGGGAAAGAUUUAUCGCCAUUAGAGCGGCCCGCGUCUGAUUAGCUAGUUGGUGAGGUAACGGCUCACCAAGGCGACGAUCAGUAGCUGGUCUGAGAGGAUGACCAGCCACACUGGGACUGAGACACGGCCCAGACUCCUACGGGAGGCAGCAGUGGGGAAUCUUGCGCAAUGGGCGAAAGCCUGACGCAGCCAUGCCGCGUGAAUGUUGAAGGUCUUAGGAUUGUAAAAUUCUUUCACCGGGGACGAUAAUGACGGUACCCGGAGAAGAAGCCCCGGCUAACUUCGUG